RNAcentral lists this long non-coding RNA (660 nucleotides) under Oryza brachyantha (malo sina). RNAcentral describes it as "long non-coding RNA (OBRA_LNC002956)". Lineage: Eukaryota; Viridiplantae; Streptophyta; Magnoliopsida; Poales; Poaceae. The record is from RNAcentral.
GAUACAGGUAGACUUGUUCGUACUCAGACUACCUGUGUGUGAGGCUCGAUCUUCGUAUGUAGGCACUGCCGCCUAAUACGUUUGCCUGCAAUAAUGAUGCUUUUCGCAUGUAGGUGCACAACCACACUCUACUAGAAAACGGGAGUAUUUUUAAUUUUCUGGUAUUUGCACUACUUUGUGGCAGAACGAAAAUAACUUAAUGCGUACAUAAGUAUAUGGAAGGUAUCAUAUUUAAGAAAAAUAAAUAAGUAAUAGUAUGCAUAUUACAUAUGUAUACAUAUUCAUAUGUUUAGCAAAACAGAGUUGAAAGAGGCAAGUAACUCGAGUUAUGAAAAAUUUUUAGCGUAAAAAUUCAGUAUUCCGAGGUAGAAUGUUAAUUACUUAAGAUAAUAAAAUUUUACACUAUAAUUUUAAAUACCUCAAGAUAUUUUUUUAAGGAUGCUAGUAUAGAAAACCCCUUUUAGAAUGGUUGUAUAAAUUCAUUAGGCGUGCGCGGUUGUAGUGAUCAUCGUAUCACCCAGUUCAUAAAGCAUGCUUCUUCGACACUGGGAGCACAUGGGACAGUCCCAAUGCAUCCCAAACCUAUCACGGUAUGUUCUAAACGAGUUAUCUGAUCUAUGGAAUAGUCUUCAUCUCAGCUUCGUAUAUCACUACCGGCUG